AAACGUUUCAAGUCAGUCGCAUUGGCCAGUAAUCAACCUUGCAAUCUUGCGAGGCUUAUUUUCUGGUUGAUGGGUCAGCAUCAAUUUUGACUGUUAGAGAAAGGCUUGAGGAAUGUGGCAUCUUCGGAUGUGUUAUAGCCUCUGGUCCCACAUAAUGGUCGGGAUUGAGGAACUCAGCAUGCCCUUCA
This 188-nucleotide ribosomal RNA is filed under the name Hygrophoraceae sp. Its description in RNAcentral is "partial large subunit ribosomal RNA". Lineage: Eukaryota; Fungi; Basidiomycota; Agaricomycetes; Agaricales; Hygrophoraceae. The record is from RNAcentral.